Ostrinia nubilalis (European corn borer) is the source of this 1906-nucleotide long non-coding RNA. RefSeq lists it as uncharacterized. The record is from RefSeq and is a predicted model, not a curated record. Lineage: Eukaryota; Metazoa; Arthropoda; Insecta; Lepidoptera; Crambidae. The transcript is spliced from 2 exons.
AUAGUCUUUCUAGGUUGCCUACUCUUGCUGCGAUUUCGGGAUCAUCUAGUCCAGUGACUCAAGACACUUGGUACCAGAAUAUAUUUCAAGGAUGUCAGGAUUCACCAACUAGUUACCCUAAUUAUAGAGUUGAGAAUGGUUCCUUAUAUCGUUUUAUGAAAAGUAAAAAUACCCUUACAUCUGAGUUUGAAUGGAAGCUCGUUGUUCCACAGGAGCAACGCCUCGGUGUUUUAAGGGAUAAUCAUUCGGAACCCAUUUCGGGUCAUUUCGGAAUUUUCAAAACCUACAAAAGAUUAUUACUUCGCUACUACUGGCCAAAGAUGUAUCCCGAUGUUGUCAGUUACGUGUCUUCCUGUGAAACUUGCCUAGCUUAUAAGCUUUCAACUCAGGGUACUUUAGGUAUGAUGGGGAGACCUAAAGAGUGUGGUAGACCUUUUCAAACCCUAUCUAUAGAUUUAGUUGGUCCCCUACCGGCUUCAAGAAAACAGCACUGUUAUAUAUUUGUAGUGACAUGCUGUUUUUCCAAAUAUUGCCUCAUGUUCCCGCUACGCAGAGCUACUGCUGAUCUUGUUAGUAAACAUCUGGAAGAUUACGUCUUCUUGGUUCACGGCAUCCCUCAAACCAUUAUCCUGGAUAAUGGCGUGCAAUUCACGAGCCGUGAAAUGGAAUCUUUAUUUAAAAAAUAUGCUGUACCUAAUGUUCACUUCACGCCUAAAUAUACUCCCCAAAUGAACACCGUUGAAAGGUAUAACAAAACCAUUAUAACGGCAGUUUCCACUUUUGUUCAUGAUGACCAUCGCUCAUGGGACAUUAAUCUACCAAAAAUCCAAUUCGCAAUCAAUAAUUCAGUUAAUGAAACGACUGGUUAUACUCCAUCAUUCCUCGUCCAUGGUCGUGAAUUAGUUACGAGUGGGUCUCAUUAUAUAGAAAAUGAUAUCCCAAACGAACUAAUUUUUCUUCCACGCGACCCAUAUGCAGAAAACUUGGGACAUUUGGCAAAUAUUUUCGAUAAAGUACAGGUUGCACUUUGGCAAGCACAUUUAAAAAACACUCAGCGUUAUAACUUGCGUCGAAAGCAUGCUGAAUUCAAUGUUGAUGAUAUCGUUUGGAAGCGAUGUUACUUUCAGAGCGACAAGGAUGCACGUUUUGCUAAGAAGCUGGCACCUAAGUACGUUAAAUGUAGAAUAAAGCAAAAGAAAUCACCAUUAGUAUAUGUUCUCGAGGAUGUUAUGACCGGUCAUAAUUUAGGAGCUUGGCACAUAAAAGAUCUUAAAAUGCAAAACAAGUAAAUCUUUGCAUAAUCCUUGCUAAUUCAUAACAUAGGUGUAGGUUCAGAUUUUACGACAGGUAAAAUCUUUUUCUUGGAAGAGGGGUACUGUAACAUUUGAAAAUGUUAUUUUUUUAUUUUACGAUUCAAUGGAUCAUAAGUUUUUGAACGUAAAUACGCUCGGGGCGAAGGGCGCGGGGAGUGCGCGCCGCAGGCGCAGCGUCUCGGCCAGAGACAGACUGCCACACUCGCCAGCCUCGCUUGAAACUUGAACUUGAGCACCCGCGUACCGCUUGAUGCGGCGCGCGUCUUAAUAAAUCGAUCUCGUUGGCGUUUUUUCAUAGUGCGAGUUUAAUAAAACUUUAAUAAAACCUCACAGUUAAUCAAACUUAAGUGUCUAGCCUACAUUUCAUCCCGUAACUGGGAAUUACGGCCGGGCUCAGUUUGAGCUAGGACUUAUUGUGGACCGUUCCGGAGGGGACAGAGAAGUGGACAUCACGGCGUCCCACGGGGACCGCAGGAGGCCGCACAGGGGAGUCUGGCACAAGUGUUACGUGGAACCGAUCUUUUUACAACCUACCCACCUGUACCUUAAAAUCAAAUAUUUUUAAACUUAGAUUAAUAAAUUUUGUAAACUUA